This 484-nucleotide ribosomal RNA is filed under the name uncultured bacterium. RNAcentral's name for it is "partial 16S ribosomal RNA". It matches the Rfam family "Bacterial small subunit ribosomal RNA", at positions 30 to 507 of the family's 1533-position model. The record is from RNAcentral.
AUUGAACGCUGGCGGCAGGCCUAACACAUGCAAGUCGAGCGGAUGAAGGGAGCUUGCUCCUGGAUUCAGCUGCGGACGGGUGAGUAAUUCCUAGGAAUCUGCCUGGUAUUUGGGGAUAACGUCCGUAAACGGGCGCUAAUACCGCAUACGUCCUGAUGUAGAAAGUGGUGGAUCUUCGGACCUCACGCUAUCAGAUGAGCCUAGGUCGGAUUAGCUAGUUGGUGGGGUAAAGGCCUACCAAGGCGACGAUCCGUAACUGGUCUGAGAGGAUGAUCAGUCACACUGGAACUGAGACACGGUCCAGACUCCUACGGGAGGCAGCAGUGGGGAAUAUUGGACAAUGGGCGAAAGCCUGAUCCAGCCAUGCCGCGUGUGUGAAGAAGGUCUUCGGAUUGUAAAGCACUUUAAGUUGGGAGGAAGGGCAGUAAGUUAAUACCUUGCUGUUUUGACGUUACCAACAGAAUAAGCACCGGCUAACUUCGUG